GGUGAGUAACACGUGGAUAACCUACCUAUAAGACUGGGAUAACUUCGUGAAACCGGAGCUAAUACCGGAUAAUAUUUUGAACCGCAUGGUUCAAAAGUGAAAGACGGUCUUGCUGUCACUUAUAGAUGGAUCCGCGCUGCAUUAGCUAGUUGGUAAGGUAACGGCUUACCAAGGCAACGAUGCAUAGCCGACCUGAGAGGGUGAUCGGCCACACUGGAACUGAGACACGGUCCAG
RNAcentral lists this ribosomal RNA (235 nucleotides) under uncultured Staphylococcus sp. RNAcentral's name for it is "partial 16S ribosomal RNA". It matches the Rfam family "Bacterial small subunit ribosomal RNA", at positions 105 to 334 of the family's 1533-position model. Lineage: Bacteria; Bacillati; Bacillota; Bacilli; Caryophanales; Staphylococcaceae. The record is from RNAcentral.